Molecule: ribosomal RNA, 263 nt
Filed under: uncultured bacterium
Lineage: Bacteria
Description: partial small subunit ribosomal RNA
Rfam family: Bacterial small subunit ribosomal RNA
Source: RNAcentral
AGAGCGAACGCUGGCGGCGUGCUUAACACAUGCAAGUCGAGUGCGCGCCUGUAGCAAUACAGGUGGUGCACGGCGCACGGGUGCGUAACACGUGGGUAAUCUGCCCUUCGAUGGGGAAUAACUCCGGGAAACCGAAGCUAAUUCCGCAUAACAUUCCUUGAACUUCGGUUUGGGGACUCAAAGCCGUAAGGCGUCGGAGGAGGAACCCGCGCACGAUUAGCUAGUUGGUAGGGUAACGGCCUACCAAGGCUUUGAUCGUUAGC